ACGGAGGCAGCAGUAGGGAAUCUUCGGCAAUGGGGGCAACCCUGACCGAGCAACGCCGCGUGAGUGAAGAAGGUUUUCGGAUCGUAAAGCUCCGUUGUAAGAGAAGAACGUGUGUGAGAGUGGAAAGUUCACACAGCGACGGUAACUUACCAGAAAGGGACGGCUAACUACGUGCCAGCAGCCGCGGUAAUACGUAGGUCCCGAGCGUUGUCCGGAUUUAUUGGGCGUAAAGCGAGCGCAGGCGGUUUAAUAAGUCUGAAGUUAAAGGCAGUGGCUUAACCAUUGUUCGCUUUGGAAACUGUUAGACUUGAGUGCAGAAGGGGAGAGUGGAAUUCCAUGUGUAGCGGUGAAAUGCGUAGAUAUAUGGAGGAACACCGGUGGCGAAAGCGGCUCUCUGGUCUGUAACUGACGCUGAGGCUCGAAAGCGUGGGGAGCAAACAGGAUUAGAUACCCUGGUA
This 458-nucleotide ribosomal RNA is filed under the name uncultured Streptococcus sp. RNAcentral's name for it is "partial 16S ribosomal RNA". It matches the Rfam family "Bacterial small subunit ribosomal RNA", at positions 341 to 792 of the family's 1533-position model. The record is from RNAcentral. Lineage: Bacteria; Bacillati; Bacillota; Bacilli; Lactobacillales; Streptococcaceae.